Molecule: ribosomal RNA, 450 nt
Filed under: uncultured bacterium
Lineage: Bacteria
Description: partial 16S ribosomal RNA
Rfam family: Bacterial small subunit ribosomal RNA
Source: RNAcentral
GUGGGGAAUAUUGGACAAUGGGCGAAAGCCUGAUCCAGCCAUGCCGCGUGUGUGAAGAAGGUCUUCGGAUUGUAGAGCACUUUAAGUUGGGAGGAAGGGUAGUAAACUAAUACGUUGCUACUUUGACGUUACCGACAGAAUAAGCACCGGCUAACUUCGUGCCAGCAGCCGCGGUAAUACGAAGGGUGCAAGCGUUAAUCGGAAUUACUGGGCGUAAAGCGCGCGUAGGUGGUUCAGUAAGUUGGAAGUGAAAUCCCCGGGCUCAACCUGGGAACUGCUUUCAAAACUGAUGAGCUAGAGUACGGUAGAGGGUGGUGGAAUUUCCUGUGUAGCGGUGAAAUGCGUAGAUAUAGGAAGGAACACCAGUGGCGAAGGCGACCACCUGGACUGAUACUGACACUGAGGUGCGAAAGCGUGGGGAGCAAACAGGAUUAGAAACCCCAGUAGUCC